GGCAGGCUGUGGCUCAGCGACGGCGAUGGAGGCGCGGUGGGCGCUCGGCUGCGCGGUGCUCCUGGGCGCCCUCGGGCUCGCCCCAGGGCAAGGAGACUUCGACCUGGCUGACGCGCUGGACGACCCCGAGCCCACCAAAAAUCCACACUCGGGUCUCUUCCCGCAACCAAAGCUGCCCCAUGCACCGCAGCCUGGGAACUCUGGCGGUGGCGGCGGCGGAGG
Long non-coding RNA from Octodon degus (degu), 222 nucleotides. RefSeq lists it as uncharacterized. NCBI's taxonomy places the organism in Eukaryota, Metazoa, Chordata, Mammalia, Rodentia, Octodontidae. The record is from RefSeq and is a predicted model, not a curated record. The transcript has 4 exons.